RNAcentral lists this ribosomal RNA (120 nucleotides) under Massilia aquatica. RNAcentral describes it as "partial 16S ribosomal RNA". It matches the Rfam family "Bacterial small subunit ribosomal RNA", at positions 1418 to 1533 of the family's 1533-position model. Lineage: Bacteria; Pseudomonadati; Pseudomonadota; Betaproteobacteria; Burkholderiales; Oxalobacteraceae. The record is from RNAcentral. RNAcentral also lists the same sequence under 1 other name.
UACCAGAAGUAGGUAGCUUAACCGCAAGGGGGGCGCUUACCACGGUAGGAUUCGUGACUGGGGUGAAGUCGUAACAAGGUAGCCGUAUCGGAAGGUGCGGCUGGAUCACCUCCUUUCUAG